AUUGAACGCUGGCGGCAUGCCUUACACAUGCAAGUCGAACGGCAACAUGAUCUAGCUUGCUAGAUUGAUGGCGAGUGGCGAACGGGUGAGUAAUACAUCGGAACGUGCCCUGUAGUGGGGGAUAACUAGUCGAAAGAUUAGCUAAUACCGCAUACGACCUGAGGGUGAAAGUGGGGGACCGCAAGGCCUCAUGCUAUAGGAGCGGCCGAUGUCUGAUUAGCUAGUUGGUGAGGUAAAGGCUCACCAAGGCGACGAUCAGUAGCUGGUCUGAGAGGACGAUCAGCCACACUGGGACUGAGACACGGCCCAGACUCCUACGGGAGGCAGCAGUGGGGAAUUUUGGACAAUGGGCGAAAGCCUGAUCCAGCAAUGCCGCGUGUGUGAAGAAGGCCUUCGGGUUGUAAAGCACUUUUGUCCGGAAAGAAAUGGCUCUGGUUAAUACCUGGGGUCGAUGACGGUACCGGAAGAAUAAGGACCGGCUAACUACGUG
Molecule: ribosomal RNA, 490 nt
Filed under: uncultured bacterium
Lineage: Bacteria
Description: partial 16S ribosomal RNA
Rfam family: Bacterial small subunit ribosomal RNA
Source: RNAcentral